Small nucleolar RNA from Macaca fascicularis (crab-eating macaque), 105 nucleotides. Lineage: Eukaryota; Metazoa; Chordata; Mammalia; Primates; Cercopithecidae. The record is from Ensembl.
AUUCUUUUGUAAUGUGUAAAGUGUAACGAUUGGGUUUUUAUGCUCAUGUGUGAGAUGUGCCUCCCUCAAACCAUGUUACAGUAUAAGAACAUUACCCAUCUGAUA